This 2800-nucleotide small RNA is filed under the name Pongo abelii (Sumatran orangutan). Its description in RNAcentral is "retained intron". The record is from RNAcentral. Lineage: Eukaryota; Metazoa; Chordata; Mammalia; Primates; Hominidae.
UUCAGUGCUGGCCAUAUAAGUACUCCUAGCUGUGAGCUGCGGGACAAGUGGAAGACAGACAGCAAGGAGGGACAUUUAGGAAAAUGGAGCAAAGAGAUGUGACACCAUGGAGAGUCCAUGGAGGGUCCCACAGCGGGAAAGCCAAGGGCAACCAGAGCGUGGGAGUCCUUGAAUGCCAGGACCUUGGUCUGGCUUCUGAGGAGGAGAGUGACAUGGUCAGAGCUAUGCUGGAAAGGUGGCCACGGUGCAGUUGCUACUACCAGUAGCAGCUGUGCUCUGGGGGCCUAGAGAGUGUCCGUUGGUCUGCUGCCAUGGCUCUAGCCCGGGAUGUUUUGGGAUCAUCCAGUUCUGCCACAGGGGCCUGCCUCUGACUGAGUGUGAGGUUCAACCCUCACCACCCACCCAUCUACCUGUCAACCCUCACAUCUUCCUAUGAAGUGAGCAAGACAAGCAUCAGAUGGUGGCCCAAAGUCUCCCCUCUUGCCUCGGUGGGAUAUCAUGGCAGUGAGGGUGAAGGCUGAGCGAGGGGGCUGCUGGGUGGAGGGGUCUGUCUUCUCCUUCAUCUGUCCCCUUCCAGACGAUCAUGAUGUCCUGUCCUUCCUGACCUUCAGCCUGAGUGAGCCCAGCCCAGAGGUGAUGCCAGCCCUGGCCUACCUGAGAAUGGCAGCCCAGGGACCCUGCCCUCACCCAUGUCAUGGUGCCCUCAGACCUACCAUUCCAGCCCUUACCUCCACCUGGCCUCUGAGCUCUGCUCAGGCCAGACCUUGUGUAGGGCAGUGCUGCGGGCCAGGCCCGGUCUGCGAGUCCUCGCAGGCUGGCUGGCUCAGGCUGUGACAUUACAGUUCAGAGCAAUCAGUGCCAGGUCUCAAAAGGUGCAGGGGGCUGUGGGAGCACAGAGGAGGGGUCCCAACCAGCCAGUGGCUCAAGGAAGGCUGCCUGGAGGAGAUGAGCUUAAAGGAGCCACGGAUCAGCACAUACAGGCUUGAGGCCACAGCAGGGAGAGAAGACGGUAGGGAUCUGCGUGAAGGCAGAACUCAGAGGGCUGGAAACUACAGGGCCAGAUGGCCAGGGAGGAAGGCUGGGCUCAUGGGGAAGCCUGUGGGAAGGCUCCCCUCGCCUCUGGAUCUCCCAUGGGUUUGGGGCCCGACUUUCUGUCUUCCUCCCCUAGGUUCCCCCUCAGCCCUUCCUGGAGAUGGAGCAGCUCCGCCUGGCGAGGCAGCUGGAAGGGCUGCGGGCAAGGCUGGGCUUGGGCACCAGGGAGGAUGUAACUCCAAAGUCAGACUCUGAAGCUCAAGGAGAAGGGGAAAGGCUCUUUGACCUGGAGGAGAUGCUGGGCAGACACAGCCGGAUCCUGCAGGCUCUGUGGGGUCUCUCCGAGCAGCUGGCCCAGGCUGAGAGACAAUGGAAGAAGCAGCUGGGGCCCCCAGGCCAAGCCGGGCCUGAUGGAGGCUGGGCCUUGGACUCUUCCUGCCAGAUUCCAUCCACCCCAGGGAGGGGUGGCCACCUCUCCAUGUCACUCAAUAAGGACUCUGCCAAGGUUGGUGCCCUGCUCCAUGGACAGUGGACUCUGCUGCAGGCCCUGCAAGAGAUGAGGGAUGCAGCUGUCCGCAUGGCUGCAGAAGCCCAGGUCUCCUACCUGCCUGUGGGCACUGAGCAUCAUUUCUUAGAGCUGGGCCACAUCCUGGGCCUCCUGCAGAAGGAGAUUCGGGUCCCGGCGGUGAGGGGGAAGUAGUGGGGAGCAUGGGGUCCCCAACCUUGGCGUCUGGGAUCAGCCACCCUUCUUCCAGCACUUCAGCAGCCCCAAGCCCUCCUGCCUUUGCCCGCCCCUCCCAGGACUGCUGGCAAGCACAUCUGUGCCUGUGUCAGUGUCUGUGUGUGCAUGCAUACGUGCCAGCACACAUCUCAUCUUUUCUCUGUCCUCUGUCCUCUCUGGAGAGUCCCACAGACUCAGCACCAGCAGGGCCCUGGACACCCCUCGAUCCAAUAUCCAAUGACCAGAGGGGAAAUGGGGUGGGCUGUGUCCAAGAUCAUUCAGAGUCCAGUGGUGGAGUCAGUGCUUCCCCAUGCCCUGUCCCAUCCUCGUUCCCUUGCUCUCACCUUGCUCACCCUAUCUUUGGCUUUCUACUUCUCUCUUUCUCUUCUCUUGAGCCCUGGGCCCCUUGAUGAUCCCAGGCCCCAGGCCUUCCCAGCUGUUCCCACAGAUGCAGCCAUGGGAGCUGGGGUGGGGGAGGCAGCUUUGUACACUGCCCCCUCUCCAAGUUCCCUGGAUGAGAGCCAGGACGCCCCAAGCCUGGGGAAAGAAAACGGAGCAUGCACAUGGCCUAGAUUCCAGGUCCCCCCCUCCUUCUGGGUAAGAAGCUAAGCUAGGACCUUAGACUUUCCCCUUUCAGAAGGCAGUGGCCAAGGCCCCCCGCCCACCUGGCCAGCCCCCAAGGGCCUCCUCGUGCCUGCAGCCUGGCAUCUUCCUGUUCUACCUCCUCAUUCAGACUGUAGGCUUCUUUGGCUACGUGCACUUCAGCAGGCAGGAGCUGAACAAGAGCCUUCAGGAGUGUCUCUCCACAGGCAGCCUUCCUCUGUGUCCUGCACCACACACCCCCAGGGCCCCGGGGAUUCUGAGGAGGCAGCCUCUCCCUGCCAGCAUGCCUGCCUGACCCACCUCAGAGCCUGCUUUGCAUCACUGGGAAGCAGGCAGUGUCUUGGGUGGGGGCUUGGUCAGUAUCCUCUCUGUCUGGGUGCCCAGCUCCCACCCACACCUGAGCUUUCGGCAUGCUCCCACCUUAUUAAAGGUAAUUUCCCUCUC